GUCUGGGUAGCUCAGUUGGCUAAAGCAUGGUGCCAAUAACGCCAAGGUUGCAGGUUCAAUCUCCCUAUGGGACA
This 74-nucleotide transfer RNA is filed under the name Podarcis lilfordi (Lilford's wall lizard). RNAcentral's name for it is "tRNA.Ile". The record is from RNAcentral. Lineage: Eukaryota; Metazoa; Chordata; Lepidosauria; Squamata; Lacertidae.